AGAACUAACUUCAAUCCCCGCUUUUAGGAGAGUGGGUGCCUUUAGGAUUGGAGCGCUUGAACAGAGCGACUCCUCCUGCCGGCAAGCCCUCCAGUACCGUCAGAUACUUGACUGUGUAUGAAAUAUUUCAGUUUUGCUUUAAAUACUGGCAGCAAGAGCAAGUGCUCGGGGUUGGGGAUUUAGCUCAGUGGUAGAGCGCUUGCCUAGCAAGCGCAAGGCCCUGGGUUCGGUCCUCAGCUCUGGAAAAAAAAAAAAAAAAAAAAAGACAAAAUAACAAAAAGACCAAAAAAAAACAAGGUAACUAGCACACACAACCUUUUUCAUUUUCAAAGAUCCCCGAGGGCAUUUUC
This 350-nucleotide small nuclear RNA is filed under the name Meriones unguiculatus (Mongolian gerbil). RNAcentral's name for it is "partial BC1 RNA". Lineage: Eukaryota; Metazoa; Chordata; Mammalia; Rodentia; Muridae. The record is from RNAcentral.